GAAUUCCAAAUGGGAGCUUAGGGCAGACUUCGGAGUAGGUGAAAAGUCUGCAGCUGCUGAGUGGCCGAGGAGGGAGAAACACUUUAAAGACACAGGCUGAGGCUUAACCGGGGCAAUACACUUAAUGAUUUGAGUAGCACUAAAAGGAACUUUCAAUUUGAAUAUGACUGAUUUGACCACUUGCAGGAGGAGGACAUGGUUCAACAGGAAGAGGCCCGCUACCGGACAAGCCUAAGAAUCUCUAUGCUGAGAGAGCUUUAAGUUGGAUUUUUACUGCUGCUAUCAAACACUGAAGUACAGGAUGACUUCCUGUUCUGGAAUGCUGUGCUCUGAGCAUAACAGCCAUUGCCACUGUCGUCGGAGCAGCUGGGACAGCCCACAAGAGAACCUCAGGAUCAGGCCUGCUGGUGCUCUAUUAUCCAGAAAGGGGUGGGGAGGGGGGCGUCAUAAGUCCUCCUUCCUACACCUCCCUCCAGCUGAAUGUAAUUCUGCCUAAAGCUUAGGCCCUUAACUUUUGCAGGGUCUAAGCUCUUGGUCUCAGGAGAGGGUAGGAGUAUGGCAUCGGCUAAGUGAAUUGGGGAGGAGAUGCUUUAUUUAUGGAGCUGUGAGCUGGCAUGAGACUUUUCAGUGGCACGGCUUCUUUGGAGGUCACUUGAGCUCCUGGAAGUAACUCAUGCUCCUUAGCAUAAGCUCGCCCAUGUUCUCCCUGUACGUCAGUUCAGUCAACUCAGUGGUUUGCCAAGUUGGACU
Peromyscus eremicus (cactus mouse) is the source of this 750-nucleotide long non-coding RNA. RefSeq lists it as uncharacterized. NCBI's taxonomy places the organism in Eukaryota, Metazoa, Chordata, Mammalia, Rodentia, Cricetidae. The transcript has 3 exons. The record is from RefSeq and is a predicted model, not a curated record.